UUUCUCAUUGGCUAGUGGAUCAUAUUUUUUGUGUGCGGCAAUAACGGUUCAAAUGAGACAUCUAAUUUUUUUGGGGUGUUUUUAAUAUGCGUGUAGGGGUUUAUGCUCUAUUGAUGGUGGUUUUCUUUUCUUAAAUUUUAGCAUGGUUCUUUUGGAAGUAGUUAUAGUUUUUUUAGACUCUGUCUUGUUUUGAAUCUAUCAUGUAAGAAAAAUCUACCAUUUGGGACUUUCUUAGGCUAUCCACGUCAGCAACUCUUCUAUGGUUGAUCCACAUCAGCAACUUCACCCAUUCUGUUGUUCAAUUUAUUCUUCAAUUCACCUAUUCUGUUCUUCAAUUUAUUCUUCAAUUCUUUCACGUUAAACUUCCAGCGGUUACGUCCCCUCAUUGUCUCCACGGUUACGAAAUUAAUUUAUCAUUCAGCAACCACUUCCAAUCUUCUUCUUCUACAGCGGUUUCGCAAAACCGUUUCUCUUUCAAAUGCUAUUCUCUCCCUUUUCCCAUUAUCAAUCGCAUCGCCUUCAUAAUCAUACAUUCUCAAUCAAAUUUGUUUUCUGAAUUCUUCAAUAUUCAUGAAAUUACCUGCGCAAUUUCAUUUUCUUAAUCGCGAUCGACGAUUUUUCGUUGUUUGUUCGUGUUUUCAUUCUACGCCAUUCCGAGUUCGUCUUCCAUUUGACUUCUCAUGUUCAAUGGAGGUUACCAAAUUGAAGGCGGUUUCAACAAUUUUUUUACUCUCCAUAUUCCAUUCAAUUGCAUGAACCAUAAUUUCCCCAAAUUCUAACCCUCUUCUUCUUCAAUCGAUCCAUUCUCUGUUUUUUUUUUCAAAUGCCGCAAAAAAUCAUCUAUUCUCCUCCAUAGCAAAACAAAUCGGCUUCCUCUAAUUGCUUAUGUGAAAAAGUCACAGAAAAAAUGGAUUGCAGCACGCGGCGGCGGGGACGGGCAUAGUUUUUGGCGACGGGCUAAUUCUCCAGGAGGAGCUGAACUCUUGCCGAUGACGGCCUUGCCUUCGUUGAAUGUUUCUUCUAAGCCGAAGAUGAAAGCAAUUGGAGAUAUUGUUGAAACGUCAAAAUCGUCUUCAUCAGAUAUGGAGAUUGAGAUAACAAUGCUUCUAUAUGGUUUUAUGUGUCUGUUACAGCCACAAUAUUCUUAUGUUGAUGGAGAUAGAUCAGCUCCUGCUGAAUCUGCCAAGAAUCCUUCAAUUUCGCUUCAACAAGUUGGGGCUGCUGGGCCAAUCUUGCUCGAUUUUGCACCUCCUUCCACUCCAUCAUACUCCAGCUCAUCCAAGAUGAGCUCAUUGCCAAUGCUGCUUACAUUGGCUCUCCUGGGAAAGGUAUCCUUGCUGCUGAUGAAUCUACGGGCACAAUCGGCAAGCGAUUCGCCAACAUCAGCGUGGAGAAUACCGAAGGAAACAGGCGCACUCUUCGCGAACUAUUAUUCACUGCCCCUGGCUGUUUAGAGUGCCUCAGUGGUGUUAUCAUGUUUGAGGAAACACUAUACCAAAAAACUGCUGCAGGAGAACUCUUUACUGAUGUGUUGAAGAAAGCUGGAGUUCUUCCUGGUAUCAAGAUGAGCUUUUCCAGUUUGGUUAGAGCAAUAAUUUGAGAAUGGAGAUAUGGAUUCUUGAGUAAGAGACAGGAGAUACGCAUUUCAAAGGCUAUUUUCAGAUGAGUUUUUCAAGUUUAUGGCUUUAGCAAGUUUAUUUUAGCAGUCUCACUAACCAGUUAAAUCCAGGUAUUAAUCUCAUCCUACAACUUCUAAAUGAAAAUCAUGCUUCAGAAAAUGCAAUGCCAGAUGUAAUUGAAGCUUCUCCUAUUGAUUCAACUUUUAUUGAGGAUGAAAAAGUAGAAAAUGAUGAUAGUAGUAGAGGAAAUAAUGCUUGCAGCUCGGAACUUUUAAGCCACGCAGCUGGUGUUGGACCUGAUGACAACUUAGUGACAUCAUUUCCAGUUCUCAGGGAUUGUAUUUCAUAUGAAAAUGUUUAAGAACAUUCAGAUAUUGCAAGGAGUGUCUCAAAUACAGAAACGUCACUACCAGAGUCAUCAUGUCAUGAGAAUCUUGAUGUGCAGAGUUAUGACGCUAAUGAAUUGAAUGCUUCGGCGAUUGCCAACUGUUCUACAAUCACAGAAUCAGAAAUUGAAAGGGAGGAAACUGAUCUGGAAUCAAAACGUGCCAUCGAUGACUUACAGGACACUCUGCUCGAACUCAGUAGAUACAAAUAACAGAUCAAGAAAACAAGGUCUGGUCCUACUCUCGAAGCUAUUAAAUCUAGAGCCAUGCGAGUUCUUAAACAAAAGAGAAUAUAAUCAAGACAGCAACCAGUGGAGGCAUGGCAUAAUGGAGCUCUUUAUGGUCAACUGUAUCAUUUUUUCUUUCUUAGUCCUAUAGAAAAUAUGAAUAUACUUUUCUACAUGUACUUGAAUAAUACCCGGUUCAUUGUUUAAGUUUUGGAUCUGUAUGAACCUGUUCCUUUAGGUAGCAAAGCGUCCCAUUGGUGUCGAAUUUGUCGAUGGAUGAAGGAGAGCGAAAUGAGUUUGCAUUGUUUCUUUCAGGGAUACCAUUGUCGCCUUCUGGUGGUAAACCGCCGCUUAGAUUUACUGGGAGAGACGGUGUGAAUCCACAAUUAGGUGAUACAGAUUCGUUUAGAGCAGCGGUUGAGGUGGAGGAGAAACCAUGUGGACAUCACAGGUUUGAUAGCGCCGAUGCUGUUAUUAGUGUGGUUUUUUAAAUGUUUAUCAGUGUGGUUUUUCUUUUUGUUAAGGCACAAUUUUUGGUUAAGAGAAAAGAUAAUUGUGCAAUAGCAUCACAUGGUGCUAGAUUUCUAUUUCUUGGAUAUGUUGCCAAGAUGUGAUUUUAUGAUCAUAAGAGUUUCCUUUGUUUCUUUUCGUUCCUUUACUGACCAAAUGCAUAAAGUUGGAUUGUUGUCAAUGAGUUUUUUCUUUUGUAUGUUUUUUUAUCAUUGAUGUCAAACAAAAUCUUGAG
RNA transcript from Vicia villosa (hairy vetch), 2977 nucleotides. RefSeq lists it as uncharacterized. Lineage: Eukaryota; Viridiplantae; Streptophyta; Magnoliopsida; Fabales; Fabaceae. The transcript has 9 exons. The record is from RefSeq and is a predicted model, not a curated record.